GCAGGGGACGUCAGGCCUUGGCAUUUAUUUCUUUUGAUUUUUAUCACAAGAUCGAUCACAGUUCAACCGAAGCUUCUGACUGUAAAUGAAUUUAACGAAAGAUCGUAAGAAUCAGGUGACAUGAGGGUGAACUGAUCCAGCUUGAAUCUUUCCAGUGCAGAGAAGUUUCACUUUCUAGGGCAGAUACGAUCAAAGUCUAAUACACCGCGUGUUGAGAGUGAAUGGUUCAGUGCAGCAGAAGUAAAUGAUCUGUUCUAGAAAAUCAACCUUCAUCAGAAUAUCUCAUUCAAGUACUUU
This is a long non-coding RNA of Stylophora pistillata, 297 nucleotides long. NCBI's taxonomy places the organism in Eukaryota, Metazoa, Cnidaria, Anthozoa, Scleractinia, Pocilloporidae. The record is from RefSeq and is a predicted model, not a curated record.